UGCCAGCCGCCGCGGUAAUACAUAGGGGUCAAGCGUUGUCCGGACUUAUUGGGCGUAAAGGGCGCGUAGGCUGGGAGAUAAGUCAGAUGUGAAAUCCCGAGGCUCAACCUCGGAACUGCAUUUGAAACUGUUUCUCUAGAGGGUAGGAGGAGAAAACGGAAUUCCACAAGUAGCGGUGAAAUGCGUAGAUAUGUGGAAGAACACCGGUGGCGAAGGCGGUUUUCUAUCUUAUUCCUGACGCUGGUGCGCGAAAGCAAGGGGAUCAAACAGGAUUAGAUA
This 279-nucleotide ribosomal RNA is filed under the name uncultured bacterium. RNAcentral's name for it is "partial 16S ribosomal RNA". It matches the Rfam family "Bacterial small subunit ribosomal RNA", at positions 506 to 784 of the family's 1533-position model. The record is from RNAcentral.